Molecule: long non-coding RNA, 229 nt
Filed under: Carica papaya (papaya)
Lineage: Eukaryota; Viridiplantae; Streptophyta; Magnoliopsida; Brassicales; Caricaceae
Description: long non-coding RNA (CPAP_LNC000837)
Source: RNAcentral
CCUAGAAUUAAGUUAUUAAUGUGAAUUGUUCACGUGUAGCGGGGAACCCCUAUGGAUCCCCAUGGAUACUAGUAGGCUGAUAAAAGAGAAAAUUUAUUGUCUUAUGACUGAAAUACAAAAGCAUGAUAUGUGUUAUGUUACAGAGCGUGCAUGAUCUUAUGAUGUUAUUGUCACUCAUAAGUUGUUUUCAUGAAUCUCACUGAGGUAAGUGGACAGUAAAGGUUUUCAU